RNAcentral lists this long non-coding RNA (3033 nucleotides) under Podarcis lilfordi (Lilford's wall lizard). Lineage: Eukaryota; Metazoa; Chordata; Lepidosauria; Squamata; Lacertidae. The record is from RNAcentral.
GCCCCAUCUUGGCCCUCCGGCGCCGCGGCGGGAUCCUUUGGGCGCUUCUCCGCCCGGCGCCGCCCGCCCCGCCUUCCUGGGUCUCCCGCGUCCUCCGGGGGCCGCCCGGCUGGGCUUCGUGGAGGCGGCGGGCGGGCGAGCGAGGAGGGGAAGCAGCGGCCCCGAAGUCCCGGGGGGGGGGCCAGGAGAAGCGCCUGGCGGCGGGAGGCCGAGCCAGCCCUCGCUCCGCCUGGACCGAAGACGCCGAUCCAGGCAGGACGCCGCUUUCCUGUCCUCCUCAAGGCCCCGCAGGCCAGCCAUGCAGGGCAGAAUCGGGACCCGGGUCCAUCCCUCAUGAGGAGCCCUGCAUAAAUGAGAGAACUUCCCGUGCCCAGUGAGGGAAGGCAGGAUAACUUUUUGAAAAUGAAAACAAAUGGGAAAUGCUCCUCAUAAUGGAAGAAGUUUGAUAGGUAUGUGCCACAUUCUGGAUGAUUUGAUACUCCCUCUCUAUUUGUCUGCCUUCCUCACCCUGUGACAGAUGGCUCCACAGAAGAAAGCCAUCGUGGCCCGUCUUAGCAUCUCUUGCAAAAUCAGAGAUUCAUGCAACCACUUCUGCAACCAGGUUGUGACCAUCACAAUGGAAGUUGUGCUCCCUAAAAUAAAUAAAGUCAUCAUUUGUGUGCAUGCAUAUAUAUUCUGGGAAUCCAUGCUUUGACCCAUGCACCACGUUUUUCUCUCUGCCUUUAUUCACAAAACACAUACAGAGUUUCCAUCAUUCUAAGCUUCAGUUACACUCUUCUCUGCACAUGGUAUAUUACCUCCCAUGCUGGUCACAGAAACAUUGAAUCUUCUAGUUGGAAGGGACCCCAAGGGUCAUCUAGUCCAACCCUCUGCAAUGCAGGAAUCUGAGCUAAAGUGACCAUCCAACCUCUGCUUAAAAACCUCCAAGGAAGGAGAGUCCACCCCCUCUCAUGGGAAUCUGUUCCACUGCUGAAUAACUCUUAGAGUCAGAAAGUUUUUUCCAAACGUUCAGUCAGAAUCUCCUUGCAACUUGAAGCCAUUGGUUCGAAUCCUACCUUCCAGAGCAGGAGAAAACAAGCAUGCUCCCUCCCCCAUGUGAGAGCCCUUAAGAUAUCUGAAGAUGACCAUCAUAUCUCCUCCCAGUCUCCUCUUUUCUGGGCUAAACAUACCCAGCUCCUUCAAGGGCUCCUCAUAAGACUUAGUUUCCAGACCUUUGAUCAUCUUGGUUGCCCUAUUUACACUUUCCAACCUGUCAACAACCCUCUUAAAUUGUGGUGCCCAGAUUUGGACACAGUGUUCCAAGUGUGGUCUGACCCAGGCAGAAGAGAGCAGUUCUAUGACUUCCCUUGAUCUGGACACUAGACUUCUGUUGAUGCAGCCUAGAACAGCAUUGGCUUUUUUUGCUGCUGCAUCACACUGUUGACCAUGGGUUGGCAAGGUUUACCUCGCCUGGGCCAAUUCACUUCAGUGGAGAUCCCUCCGUGGGCCGGAUCAUGCGCGUGCAUGCCCCCGAUUUCUGGCAACUGCGUCUGCGCAGACACAAUUUCCGGCACUGCGGAAGCAAGUCCCUGUGCCGCGCUGCGCCGGUUUAGCAUACCAUGUGGGACCUUGCCAAGAGGGAGGUUUGGGGGUGGCUUGUGGGCCAGUUAAAUGACCCCCGUGGGCCGCUUGUGGCCCAUGGGCCUUAGGUUGCCUACCCCUGCUGUUGACUCAUGUUAAGCUUGUGGUCCACCAAGACCCCUAGAUCCUUUUCACAUGUACUGCUAGUAAGCCAGGUGUCCCCCAUUUUACAUUUGCGCAGAACCUGACAUUUGUCCCUUCAGAAAUGCAUUUUGUUAGCCUGAGCCCAGUUCUUCAAUCUGUUAAGGUCAUUUUGAAUUCUGAUUCUGUCUUCUGCAGCAUUAGCCACCCCAAUGGCUCAGGGAGAGGACAGAACCCUGAGGCACCCCACAAGUGAGAGCCCAGGAGUCUGAACACUCAUCCCCCAAUACCACUUUCUGAACACGGCCCAGGAGAAAGGAGCAGAACCACUAUAUAACAGUGUCCUCAGCCCCUCUAGACAGUCCAGAAGGAUGUCAUGGUCGAUGGUAUCAAAAGCUGCUGAGAGAUCCAGCAGAACUAGGAAACAGCUUUCAUCUUUGUCCCUAGCCCACCGAAGAUCAUCGACCAGCGUGACCAAGGCAGUUUCAGUCCCAUGGUGAGGCCUGAAUCCCGAUUAGAAGGGAACCAAAUGGUCCGCAUCCUCCAGGUAUGAGCAAUCACCUGCCGAUUCAGCAACCACCUGCUCAAUCACCUUGCCCAAGAAUGGAAGAUUUGAGCCGUUAGUUCAUUUUGUUCAAUUAUUUUAGCAUAUUGUUAUGGUUGAAAUAAAAAUAAAAUAAUAAUAAUAAUAAUAAUAAUAAAUUGUCCAGUUAGUAGCUCCUUAUAGACCAACUAAGUUUGUUCUGGUGUAAGCUUUUGUGUACAUAUACACUUUUUCAGAUACCUGUUGUAAGCCAUUUGAGUGCCAUAUUUGGGCAGCAGAGGUGGGAUAAUUUUUUUUUCAUAAAGAAACAAAAUUAUACAAAUACAGAAUUGUAAAGAUUUUCUAGUACCAUUAUUUAUUAAUGUGCUGCUCUUUGUAGUUCCAAUGAAGGCUUGCUUGUUUUCAUUGACUCUCAACUUCUGUCUUCUUGUUUCCUCUCUUUCUUCCCUUCCUCCAUUUUGCCUAGAUAGUCAGUGCAAAUUUGAACCAUGUUUUACAGCUCUCACGAUUUUCAACCUCUUAAUUCUGUGCUGGAUUAAAUUUUGUACAUUUUGCUGUUCAGUGUGGUUCAGUAACAUUUGAAUUCAGUCCCCCAUCCCCAUUUAUAAAUACACAGAAGCUCGCUCGUUUUCCUAUUCAUUCAUACCAACUCAGACCCAGUUAUUAUAGUAGAAAUGGAAAAAGCUAACUACUACAUACAUGAAGGUUUGAUUGAUUGAGAACAUUACUUGUGGUUAUUGUUUUCCCUGUAGAUUUGAAGCUUGAGUCAGUUCAAUCAAUAAAUGCAC